UCUCGUCUGGUGGUUCUUGGAUCCAUCACCAGCUGGAGCCACAAGACAGAGGAAGAAGGUGGAGGACGGACUAAGUGUACCACGAUCUGACAGCCCCGAAAAUAUCGGCCUGAGGCAUCGGAAGCUUCAAGGAACAACAACACAUCUCCAUGGCAAGCUCAGACUCGACCGUACAGACCCGUCCGGUCUCGUCUACGACUCCGUUAACUGAGAAACGCCGCCGACCCGCGGGAGGCACUUUCCCCAUCAAUGCCUAAAGUGGACCUGAACCUUUGGACCUGAUGUGAACUAGAAUGAAGCUGGCUGGACCUCAAGUACUCUGUGGAAGCUUCAAGGACCAACAACACAUCUCGGUAUGACAAGUUGAGACUCGACCGUACAGACCCGUCCGGUCUCGCAUACGACGCCGUUAACGGCAAACGGAGAAACGACGCCGCUGACCCGCGGGAGGUACUUUCUCCAUCACUGCCAAAAGUGGACCUGAAAUUUUGGACCUGAUGUGAACUAGAAUGAAGUUGGCUGGAUAUAAAGUUAACUGGACCUGCAGCGAAGUGGACCUGAAGCUAACUGGACCUCAAGUAGUCUGUGGAAGCUUUAAGGACCAACAACACAUCUCGGUACGACAAGUCGAGACUCGACCGUACAGACCCGUCCGGUCUCGCACACGACGCCGUUAACGGCAAACGGAGAAACGCCGCUGGGAGGCACUUUCUCCAACACUGCCUACAGUGGACCUGAUGUGAACUAGAAUGAAGUUGGCUGGACAUGAAAUUUACUGGACCUCAAGUAGUCUGUGGUAUUGUAUUUAAUAUUGUUGUGGUACUUUGAAUGUUAGGAAAGUUCUACAGGCAUUCCCC
Molecule: long non-coding RNA, 857 nt
Organism: Homarus americanus (American lobster)
Lineage: Eukaryota; Metazoa; Arthropoda; Malacostraca; Decapoda; Nephropidae
Exons: 7
Source: RefSeq, a predicted model, not a curated record